Molecule: transfer RNA, 98 nt
Filed under: Halomicrobium mukohataei
Lineage: Archaea; Methanobacteriati; Methanobacteriota; Halobacteria; Halobacteriales; Haloarculaceae
Also listed under: 2 other names
Description: tRNA-Trp
Rfam family: tRNA
About the family: Transfer RNA (tRNA) molecules are approximately 80 nucleotides in length. Their secondary structure includes four short double-helical elements and three loops (D, anti-codon, and T loops). Further hydrogen bonds mediate the characteristic L-shaped molecular structure. tRNAs have two regions of fundamental functional importance: the anti-codon, which is responsible for specific mRNA codon recognition, and the 3' end, to which the tRNAs corresponding amino acid is attached (by aminoacyl-tRNA synthetases). tRNAs cope with the degeneracy of the genetic code in two manners: having more than one tRNA (with a specific anti-codon) for a particular amino acid; and 'wobble' base-pairing, i.e. permitting non-standard base-pairing at the 3rd anti-codon position.
Source: RNAcentral
GGAAGGGUGGCUCAGUGGUAGAGCGCCGCGACCGACUCCAGCAUCGGUCGGCGGUCGUCCCUUCAGGGCUUCGCGUGGUUCGAAUCCCGCCCCUUCCA